GUACCUUGUAAACUCAAUUUCCAGAUGAGCAAAAAUGGAAAAGGCCUUUCAAAAUGUUGUUGCUAAUUGAGAAGUCUGCCUUCCUUCCCCUGCCCUGCAAAACGGUGGUGGUGGAGUAGUGCUGAAAUGCAAAUGCAGGCAAAUCAGAUGCUGGCAUGGAUGGCAGUGACAACAAGCAGAGCUUCUACACAGAGAGAGCUGCAGAACAUUCCCCAGAACAGGAGCCUAUCUGCCUGGACCUGAAAGGAACAAACCAC
This is a non-coding RNA of Pogona vitticeps (central bearded dragon), 257 nucleotides long. Lineage: Eukaryota; Metazoa; Chordata; Lepidosauria; Squamata; Agamidae. The record is from RefSeq and is a predicted model, not a curated record.